This 76-nucleotide transfer RNA is filed under the name Actinobacillus sp. Its description in RNAcentral is "tRNA-Ile2(cat)". It matches the Rfam family "tRNA". Rfam says of the family: Transfer RNA (tRNA) molecules are approximately 80 nucleotides in length. The record is from RNAcentral. Lineage: Bacteria; Pseudomonadati; Pseudomonadota; Gammaproteobacteria; Pasteurellales; Pasteurellaceae. RNAcentral also lists the same sequence under 4 other names.
GCCCCCAUAGCUCAGCGGUCAGAGCAGACGACUCAUAAUCGUUUGGUCGCUGGUUCAAACCCAGCUGGGGGCACCA